This 102-nucleotide microRNA precursor is filed under the name Pelobates cultripes (western spadefoot toad). The record is from RNAcentral. Lineage: Eukaryota; Metazoa; Chordata; Amphibia; Anura; Pelobatidae.
UGUAUUUGUGUGUGUGUGUAUGUAUCUAUCUAUCUAUCUAUCUAUAUAUAUAUAGAUAGAUAGAUAGAUAGAUAGAUACAUACACACACACACACACACACG